CGGGAAGAGUGUGAGGACUUCUGCCCCUCUGAAAAAAAGAAGUGAAAUAUCAUAGAAGUGUGAAGCGUUCCAGGAAGAAAUGGUCAGCAGUCCUCAAGAAUGAGUUCCUGAACUUCUUACAUGGAAAUUUUACUGGUGCUGGGAGGAUGCUUUUGUCAUUUGAGGUAUGUGAAAUAUUCAUCCCGUGAUUGCGAGAUGAAAAUUUUUCAGAAAAAUUCCUUUAUUAUAUGCAGGCCAGUUUUCUAGUUUUU
This is a long non-coding RNA of Camelus dromedarius (Arabian camel), 251 nucleotides long. RefSeq lists it as uncharacterized. Lineage: Eukaryota; Metazoa; Chordata; Mammalia; Artiodactyla; Camelidae. The transcript is spliced from 3 exons. The record is from RefSeq and is a predicted model, not a curated record.